Mastomys coucha (southern multimammate mouse) is the source of this 305-nucleotide long non-coding RNA. RefSeq lists it as uncharacterized. The record is from RefSeq and is a predicted model, not a curated record. Lineage: Eukaryota; Metazoa; Chordata; Mammalia; Rodentia; Muridae. The transcript has 3 exons.
AUCAAUUCUCAUAGUUGGAAUGGCAGUUGGAAGCUCUAAACUCUUAGUUUUCAAAAGAGGAGGCAGAGGCUGAAGGAGGAAGAAUGACCGACUUUCUCAGGCUCAUGAACCUCAUCAGUGGCCUCAUAAGGGUUCCUACAAGGUGGAAGACAAUCAACUUGAUUGGUGGAACCAAGUGGUUGGAUUCAUGUUCCAUUGACUGACACUCAUAAGAAGCCAACUCGCACAUUCAUGAUACAGAUUGCUGUUCUAGCCAAUCACAGAAUGGAAGAGAUACCCACAUGAGACAAAUUAAAAUAUACACA